GACGAACGCUGGCGGCGUGCUUAACACAUGCAAGUCGAACGGAAAGGCCCUGCUUUUGUGGGGUGCUCGAGUGGCGAACGGGUGAGUAGCACGUGAGUAACCUGCCCUUGACUUUGGGAUAACUUCAGGAAACUGGGGCUAAUACCGGAUAGGAGCUCCUGCUGCAUGGUGUGGGUUGGAAAGUUUCGGCGGUUGGGGAUGGACUCGCGGCUUAUCAGCUUGUUGGUGGGGUAGUGGCUUACCAAGGCUUUGACGGGUAGCCGGCCUGAGAGGGUGACCGGCCACAUUGGGACUGAGAUACGGCCCAGACUCCUACGGGAGGCAGCAGUGGGGAAUAUUGCACAAUGGGCGGAAGCCUGAUGCAGCAACGCCGCGUGCGGGAUGACGGCCUUCGGGUUGUAAACCGCUUUCGCCUGUGACGAAGCGUGAGUGACGGUAAUGGGUAAAGAAGCACCGGCUAACUACGUG
This 468-nucleotide ribosomal RNA is filed under the name uncultured bacterium. RNAcentral's name for it is "partial 16S ribosomal RNA". It matches the Rfam family "Bacterial small subunit ribosomal RNA", at positions 28 to 507 of the family's 1533-position model. The record is from RNAcentral.